GGGCGCUUAGCUCAGUUGGUAGAGCAGUGGACUUUUAAUCCGCGUGUCGGGGGUUCGAUCCCCCCAGCGCCUAC
Molecule: transfer RNA, 74 nt
Filed under: Alphaproteobacteria bacterium MarineAlpha6_Bin1
Lineage: Bacteria; Pseudomonadati; Pseudomonadota; Alphaproteobacteria
Also listed under: 5 other names
Description: tRNA-Lys
Rfam family: tRNA
About the family: Transfer RNA (tRNA) molecules are approximately 80 nucleotides in length. Their secondary structure includes four short double-helical elements and three loops (D, anti-codon, and T loops).
Source: RNAcentral